Tachysurus fulvidraco (yellow catfish) is the source of this 2290-nucleotide long non-coding RNA. RefSeq lists it as uncharacterized. Lineage: Eukaryota; Metazoa; Chordata; Actinopteri; Siluriformes; Bagridae. The record is from RefSeq and is a predicted model, not a curated record. The transcript has 4 exons.
GUCUCAGGUGUGAACAGGGAGCAGGUGUGUUAAAUUUGGUGUUAUCACUGUUACUCUCUCAUACUGGUCACUGGGAGUUCAACAUGACACCUCAUGGUCUGAUACAAAAGGAGUCAAAGUUCAAAGUUCAAACCCCAAGACCACCAAGCUGCCCCCUGCCACUGCUGGGCCCCUGAGCAAGGCCCUUAACCCUUACUUUUUCUUUCCUGCUUUUACAUGAGAGAUCUACCAGCACUGCCCGACCGGUCCCACCAUCUCAGGGUAAGAGCUCAGUUAUCUCCUUACAACUCUACAAAAGCAAGAAUGGGCUGAAGUACAACUGUCUCUGAGAUUAAACCUGUGAGACAGGCAUCUCAUGGGAAACACAGGUGUGUGCACCAUCAAGGGGCGGAGCCACAGGUUGCCUGUAAUAAAGAGAACUGCACUGUUUCUAAGAGCCUGAUUUCCAACCAGGACUCUUAUUUAAGAGGCAUUUUGGCGAAACUGACAAAAACUGACUGACAAAAAUGUUUCUGCGUGACCAAAAACUGUUCUGCAGUUUCACAAGAAGAAAGACAACUGAACGAUCAAGAUACAGGGUAUAUUCUAAACAUAAGCGUGUGUGUGUGGGUGUGUGUGUAAAGGCUACACUUGAGACAAUAGAUAAUCCCCAAGACAGAGACAUGGCAACACGAUAACCCAGAAAAAACGCAGACAAAUGUACCUAUGAAUGAAAAAACACACUAAAUUGGUCUUAAAUAAUUAAAUUAAGAAAACAGAAAGAAAGAAAUCCAACAAUUUCCAGUUUGGAUCAUUAUGAAAUCCAUUUAAAGCAAACUUACAUUUUCUGGACCAAAAUGUAGACAGCUUUUAUGCUUCGUUCUGUCUACCGAUUGAAAAUGGAUUUAGGAGUCGAAUCUUUCUGCUUCAUCAAACCGGAUUCCUGCUUUUAGAAACUCACAAGCAGCAACAGUGUAAUGACACAAUGAUAAUGGGGGAUCACCAUGAGACCAGGAGCCUGAUCAGUUCCCCAUGCUUUGGUUUUCCUUUGACUAUCAAAGGCGUGUCUCAGGUAGUACUACAGGACUCUACAGCAGCAGUACUUCAGGAGUUACACAUUUCCCCCGUUUUGUGCUGCAACACAAGCGAUAAAAUAAGUGCGAACACGUUUAAUUAUUAACACGUCCUCCAGCAAUGAUGCAGUCUCUGGUUUCUCCCUUUUAUGAUUGUGCAAAUUGCUGUAAUUAGCUUUUAAAGGCAUUGUGACUCUCCAACUCCACUAUUUCACAAAGAUCUUCUGGGUUUUUGGCUGAAUUCGGCUUCCUCGUUCUUCUCAAUCUUCACAUGGGCUCGAGACUUUGUGUCGCAUGUUUAAUCUGUGUGCGCCCAUAUGUUAUGUUAUGUUAUGAAGAUGUAUAUUACUUAGUUGAAAAUGAACGAAUGCUGAUAAGAUGAUAAUGAAUGAGAUGAAAUGUUACAGCAAGUAAAAGCAGUAACCUCAACGACAAAUCUAUACAUCAGGAAACCGUGUAACAUAAAUCAGUCUGUAGGUACAUAUGCUGGAUUUCUGUUUACAGUAUAUAUGUACAUGUGGAAUAUCCUUGGUGUUUUUAGUAUGUGUGAAACAUCUACAGAAUCACUCUGAUCUGUUAAAGGCGUGUUUGUAAGACUCAGUCAGUGGAGUAGGAAGUACUGGGUACUGCUGCUUUAUGGAACUUUUCUUCACAGAAGAUUCCAACCAGACAUCUUGAGGCACCCCACAGAGCUGGCUUUCAUAACCAGUUUGUUCUGCCACUGGUCACCCAGUGUCACUUCCCCAGCAAAGAUACCUUGGACCUCUAAAGACAGGAAAAACAUCCGUAGCAUCCUGGUUAAGACCUGAGAACAUCCUAUUCUGUCCCUCUCUAUAGAGGGUGUGGGUUUUGUAUGAACAGCCCAGCUUGUUGUUUAUUUACACCCCAUAGGACUUUGUAUCUGGGCUAUCUCUACUCCCACCCACUUUAUAGUGACAUGAGUCCCUGAGGGGAUUAGUCUCUGCCCUGCUGAACAACCCCCUGGUUUAAUUGCUCCCUUUUGUGACGUGUUUGCUCUUUGAUAUUAGGUGCUUUAAAAUUGCGUCACUAUUAGAUGUGUAAUAAACUAUGGGUGGUGUGCUGUUAGUGGAAAAUCAACAGGUGAGUGGUUCUCAAAAUAAAGAACAAGUGUACUUUUAUCUAUUUAUAGUUACAUUUAAUGUCACGCUUUAUCAAUGAAACAAGUCACAUACUGUAGGUCGCUGGAGACUUGUUAAAUAAACCUCUCCUUACAGAAA